UUUACGGAGAGUUUGAUCCUGGCUCAGGACGAACGCUGGCGGCGUGCUUAACACAUGCAAGUCGAACGGUGAACGAGGGAGCUUGCUCCCUCCGGAUCAGUGGCGAACGGGUGAGUAACACGUGAGCAAUCUGCCCCGAACUCUGGGAUAAGCGUUGGAAACGACGUCUAAUACCGGAU
This 179-nucleotide ribosomal RNA is filed under the name Micrococcales bacterium. Its description in RNAcentral is "partial 16S ribosomal RNA". It matches the Rfam family "Bacterial small subunit ribosomal RNA", at positions 1 to 174 of the family's 1533-position model. The record is from RNAcentral. Lineage: Bacteria; Bacillati; Actinomycetota; Actinomycetes; Micrococcales.